UUUGUUUCUCUCUUUCGAGAAGAACGCUUCGGUGCGCUGUUGUAAAUGAGAAAACUCCGAAUGGCUCAGGGCAUUUUUAUGUCUCUUCCUGGCAGUAAGAAGGUUUGAAAUCCCUUAGUCCAGAGUAUCGUGUCCUAGUGUUCACAGAUUCCUUGGUAUUCAAGACGAAUAUGACCUCGAAGCACCUAUUUCCUCAUACGAUCUUUUGGCAACACGAUGUUUCUUAACCUCUCCCGGCUCUCCCCGCCAGCGAGAAGUGUUCCCCACAGAGGACAUUCUGAAACUCCACAGACAACACACGUUGCUUCUUUGCAGGCACCUGUGAGGCACAGCACAACCCAAGGUAAUGGAGCACGGUGAUGUAUGGGAAGGCCAACAUGAGCAGGAGCCCAGAUCAUGGACAGGGAAGGGAGGCAGCACAGGAAGAAAGUGAGCAUGCAGAGCUGCAAGUAAAGUACUUGCUUGGCUUAAAACCAGCUAUGGAAUACUUCAGCUUUGCAGCACUUGCCUGCAGUUGAGGUAUUUAUAAUCUGGCAUUUAUUACUUGCGAUAAUGAUUGUAUUUGUCCGUUUCCGCAUAUAGAGUGUAUGUGCUCUUGUUCUGGGAUACACCCAUUACCUGUGAUUCAUAUUUAACACCAGGUUAGGAUUAAAUGUAAUGAUCAAAUUUUUAUCCUGUCUGCAGCUGAGUUUAUACUAACAGAACUGAAAAGUCAUUUAUUCUGUCUAAGGAGGAAUGUGUUCCCUCAAAUAUUCCUUCUCAUUGAUAGCAAGAGAACAAUGAGGACAUACCAGUCUGAAGGGCAAAAGUUCCCAAAUCUAAAUUAUUCCAUGCUGAUAAAAACAGUAUCUUUAAUAUGAUUGAAAACCCAUUAUAAUUUCUCAUUAGAUGCCAUUACAUACUUUUCAGACUGUUUUAACAGAUUCUGCCUCUAUAAAUGUGGAACUGGAGUUUCAGCUCAGUUAAACUAUGACUGAGCAUAUAUAUUGGAGUACUGGCAGAAGUUUCUGUCUUUUAAUUCUUAUUCUUGGACACACAAAUUCAAGAGGGAAAUGGGGUGAAUAGUGAACCUGUGCAGCAACCUUUGAUCUCAUUGAAAAAUAACUCUUCCUGUGUUUGCUAGUUUAUUCUUUGACUAGUUCCUGAGCUGCCUCACUCUUAUGCCACAGAGUUCUUUAAAAGCUGCACUGGGAACGGUGUAUUGGCAGACUGUAACAAAAGUGCAGAUUUCCAGUACCUGUUCAAACAGCCCGUGUCUGAGGUUUGUUCUGUCCAGUCUCCACCCCAUCGCAUGAGCUUUCCUCAUGUAACCACAUUGCAGUAUCCAGCCAAAAUGGACCCGUAACAUGCCUUAUCUGGGAAUCCUUGGGUUCCUGUGAAGGUAACUCACAAUGAUCAUUGGUCUGGACAGUCAACUUCAGGCCACCUCCCAGUAUUGAACACAUACCCCAGGGUGCGUAGCUUCGACAACAUCUAAUCUGGCAGAGUAAUGACAGAAAACGUUGCAGAAUACAAUCAAGUGGUUUUAAGCUGCUUUUUCCACUGUCCUCACAAAGGCCCAAGUGGAACUACCUACUAGAAUUUGCCAAAACCUGAGUGAUUUCCUUUUGCUGCCAAGUUCUUAAAAAGUAGAUUCAUUGUAACUGUACAGUGACAUUUCCCUUUCUGCGUUGUGCUUUCUCAUUGUAAGUAGGCUAAGCUUUUUAUUUUAAUUUGCCCUGAACUGAGGUCCUAUCUCUGUCCCCUAAUGCUAAGAAAAAAGCUAGAAGAGAAAAUGUGAUUUAUAUUAAAAAAAAUGAAGCUGAGAAAAAAAACAGAGAGUAAACACUAUGAAAGAUAAAAAAUCAUAACUGUUUGAGAUCCUAACAGCAGCCAGUGCAGCUUCCUGAUUUAUUUUACAGCUCUCUUGGAAUGUAGUCUUUACACAACAUGCCACUAGGAUGAUUUUUUUCCUGUUAUGAUGUGUUUCCCAAUUCACAAUUUAAGCGUGCAUGGUCUAAUCAGAAUAUGUGCAAAUGUCAUGCCAUAUUUUCUACUGUUUUGCUUUUUUCUGUAAGACAGAUGUCCACAGUGAAAGUGCCCAGUAUUUCCUGUCUGCCUUUUAAAGUCUAAGUUCUACAACAAACUAACAAAUCAGAAAGAGUGGGCCAGUAACCAAUUCACAAGGAACAAACCACUCACCUUUGAUAUAUGAAUUUUUAAGAAAUGUGUUUUUCACACACAGUUUUUAAUAUAUUCAGAUCAUCAUUAAAUCAGUAUUCCGCAAUGGAAAAUAAUUACAAUUCAGAGCAACAUCAAAGGGCCCAGAAUGUGUUUAAUUGAAAUAUUUUAGAAAAGCUGCCAACAUUCUGAGAAAUUAAUUCCUGUACAUGUAUUCCUAUGGCAAUUAAAUUAAUUGCAAAUGCUCUAACACAAUUGAUAGCACUUGCUAUCAUAAUAAUUGAGCAUCACAGAGCUAGUUGUUAAUCAAAAUUAGAGAUUAAAUGGAGUCUGUUUGAUAAAUGUAGACUGUUUUCACCUGAGGCUGCUCUCUUAAUUUCAAUCUUGAACAUUAUUCACUUGGUCCUAUACACAUCUUGUUGAAUGGCUUGGCUAAAUGCAGAAAUGCAGAUGUACCUGUGGAAAACUGGCAGUCACUUUUUACUGCACACAGUACUAGUUCUGUUUUGCCUGUGGACAGUGGACAGGAUCAGCUCUUUGGCCCAUUUCCCAAAAUAAAAUCGGCUAAAGCAAAUGAAUGCAGAAAUUAAAUGUCAGAUGCUUGCUUAAAACAUUAUUAAUAUGAUGUAAUAAUUUCUGCAUAAGCAAGGCUAGUACAGAGAAAAAUAAAAUACAUCUACGGGAAGACCGGUAAGUGGCUCUGUAUGAACUAAAAUACCAUGGUAUGCUGUUAUUGUCCAGAAGUCCUUACUGUGGCUGAACCAGCAUGUUUGCUUUUUACAUGGAUUUGCUUGCUGUACUGAUACAAUUUCAUGCAAAUACUUUAAUAAAACUUUCAGCUUGA
This is a long non-coding RNA of Pogoniulus pusillus (Red-fronted tinkerbird), 3004 nucleotides long. RefSeq lists it as uncharacterized. The transcript has 2 exons. NCBI's taxonomy places the organism in Eukaryota, Metazoa, Chordata, Aves, Piciformes, Lybiidae. The record is from RefSeq and is a predicted model, not a curated record.